Molecule: transfer RNA, 73 nt
Filed under: Tethya actinia
Lineage: Eukaryota; Metazoa; Porifera; Demospongiae; Tethyida; Tethyidae
Also listed under: 2 other names
Description: tRNA-Thr
Rfam family: tRNA
About the family: Transfer RNA (tRNA) molecules are approximately 80 nucleotides in length.
Source: RNAcentral
GUCUUUAUAGCUUAAUUGGAAGAGCAUUUACCUUGUAAGUAAGGGGUUGUAGGUUCAAAUCCUGCUAAGGGCA